RNAcentral lists this ribosomal RNA (789 nucleotides) under uncultured Methanomicrobiales archaeon. RNAcentral's name for it is "bacterial SSU rRNA". It matches the Rfam family "Archaeal small subunit ribosomal RNA", at positions 85 to 879 of the family's 1478-position model. Lineage: Archaea; Methanobacteriati; Methanobacteriota; Methanomicrobia; Methanomicrobiales. The record is from RNAcentral.
ACUGCUCAGUAACACGUGGACAACCUACCCUAAGGAGGGGGAUAACCCCGGGAAACUGGGGAUAAUACCCCAUAGACUAGAGAAGCUGGAAUGCUCUCAAGUCCAAAGGUCCGCCGCCUUAGGAUGGGUCUGCGGUCGAUUAGGUUGUUGUUGGGGUAACGGCCCAACAAGCCCGUGAUCGAUACGGGUUGUGAGAGCAAGAGCCCGGAGAUGGAUUCUGAGACACGAAUCCAGGCCCUACGGGGCGCAGCAGGCGCGAAAACUUUACAAUGCGGGAAACCGUGAUAAGGGAACCCCGAGUGCCCGUAAAUUCGGGCUGUCCAUCAGCGUAAAUAACUGGUGAAGAAAGGGCCGGGCAAGACCGGUGCCAGCCGCCGCGGUAAUACCGGCGGCUCGAGCGGUGGCCACUAUUAUUGGGCUUAAAGCGUCCGUAGCUUGGUUGUUAAGUCUCUUGGGAAAUCUACCGGCUCAACCGGUAGGCGUUCAGGAGAUACUGGCAAUCUAGGGACCGGGAGAGGUGAGAGGUACUCCAGGGGUAGGAGUGAAAUCCUGUAAUCCUUGGGGGACCACCUGUGGCGAAGGCGUCUCACUAGAACGGCUCCGACAGUGAGGGACGAAAGCUGGGGGAGCAAACCGGAUUAGAUACCCGGGUAGUCCCAGCUGUAAACGAUGCGCGUUAGGUGUAUCGGUGACCACGAGUCACCGAGGUGCCGAAGGGAAACCGUGAAACGUGCCGCCUGGGAAGUACGGUCGCAAGGCUGAAACUUAAAGGAAUUGGCGGGGGAGCAC